AAGGGGGGCGGAGCAUGUGGCUUAAUUUGACUCAACGCGGGAAAUCUUACCGGGUCCGGACACACUGAGGAUUGACAGGCAAUAUAUUAGCAUAAAGAUUCGUCUUUAGCGCUAAUUGUUAAAUAUGCUAGUCCUUUCAUGAUUAUGUGAUAGGUGGUGCAUGGCCGUUCUUAGUUCGUGGAGUGAUCUGUCUGCUUAAUUGCGUUUCACUAAGGGCCCAUAAAUUCAAGGUAUGUUAGCAAAUGCUGCUCUAUUGACCCCUAAUAGGCUUAACUGUCUUUAGCGCGUGUCUCUACGAGUUCUUUAAAGCACUGCGCAUGCUGUUGGGUCCUGAAAGCAACGAACGUGACCGCAACGUCUUGUUGCCUCUCUAUAAUACCUUCUUAUUUUUAAUAAGAGUAUUUACCUGAGGCUAUUUUAAAACUAGGACGGACCGCUGUUUCUUCUAAACCAGAGGAAGGUGCGG
This 466-nucleotide ribosomal RNA is filed under the name Globorotalia inflata. RNAcentral's name for it is "SSU rRNA". It matches the Rfam family "Eukaryotic small subunit ribosomal RNA", at positions 1173 to 1450 of the family's 1831-position model. The record is from RNAcentral. Lineage: Eukaryota; Foraminifera; Rotaliida; Globorotaliidae.